This 775-nucleotide ribosomal RNA is filed under the name uncultured Neocallimastigales. Its description in RNAcentral is "partial large subunit ribosomal RNA". It matches the Rfam family "Eukaryotic large subunit ribosomal RNA", at positions 22 to 645 of the family's 3401-position model. The record is from RNAcentral. Lineage: Eukaryota; Fungi; Neocallimastigomycota; Neocallimastigomycetes; Neocallimastigales.
AUAUCAGUCAUGCAUAGCAUAUCAAUAAGCGGAGGAAAAGAAACUAACAAGGAUUCCCUUAGUAACGGCGAGUGAAGCGGGAAGAGCUCAAAUUUGAAAUCUUCAAGGUUCUACCUUGACGAAUUGUAGUUUAUAGAAGUGUUUUCUGUUAGUAGAGUGGCAAAAGUUCUUUGGAAUAGGACAUCAUAGAGGGUGAGAAUCCCGUAUUUGGUCAUUCCUCCUAGCGUUGUGAUACACUUUCAACGAGUCGGAUUGUUUGGGAAUGCAGUCCAAAAUGGGUGGUAAAUUUCAUCUAAAGCUAAAUAUUGGCGAGAGACCGAUAGCGAACAAGUACCGUGAGGGAAAGAUGAAAAGAACUUUGAAAAGAGAGUUAAACAGUACGUGAAAUUGUCAAAAGGGAAGCGUUUGACACCAGUGUUGUUUUUCCGAAAAUCAAUUACGAAUGUUUUGUUUUUGAGGAGUUAUGACUUCAUCGGCUUGCUUCUCUCUUUACUGAAACUUUCUUAAUGCACUUUUCGGUUAACAAGUCAACAUCUAUUUCUUUUGUUGUAAAAGGGUAUGAGGAAGGUGGCUUUCUUUUCGGAGAAAGUGUUUAUAGCCUUGUGCCUCUGCAAUCGGAGAGAUUGAGGUCUGCAGCGUAGAUCCUUCGGGGUUAGAUACAGUUUGUGCUAAGUUAUAGCUUUUCAUAGACAACUUGUUGACUAUGUUAGUCUUGUAGCUUACUCGCUUAUGCUAUUUUACCUACGCUUAGGAUGUUGAUCUCUCACAGUCGAGC